GAGGAAGGUGGGGAUGACGUCAAAUCAUCAUGCCCCUUAUGAUUUGGGCUACACACGUGCUACAAUGGCGUAAACAAAGAGAAGCGAAGCUGUGAGGCAGAGCAAAUCUCAAAAAUAACGUCUCAGUUCGGAUUGUAGUCUGCAACUCGACUACAUGAAGCUGGAAUCGCUAGUAAUCGCGGAUCAGAAUGCCGCGGUGAAUACGUUCCCGGGUCUUGUACACACCGCCCGUCACACCAUGGGAGUCGGAAAUGCCCGAAGCCAGUGACCCAAGCGAAAGCAGGGAGCUGUCGAGGGCAGGUCUGAUAACUGGGGUGAAGUCGUAACAA
This 329-nucleotide ribosomal RNA is filed under the name unidentified low G+C gram-positive bacterium. RNAcentral's name for it is "SSU rRNA". It matches the Rfam family "Bacterial small subunit ribosomal RNA", at positions 1166 to 1494 of the family's 1533-position model. The record is from RNAcentral. Lineage: Bacteria; Bacillati; Bacillota.